This 76-nucleotide transfer RNA is filed under the name Spirochaetia bacterium. Its description in RNAcentral is "tRNA-Thr". It matches the Rfam family "tRNA". Rfam says of the family: Transfer RNA (tRNA) molecules are approximately 80 nucleotides in length. Their secondary structure includes four short double-helical elements and three loops (D, anti-codon, and T loops). Lineage: Bacteria; Pseudomonadati; Spirochaetota; Spirochaetia. The record is from RNAcentral.
GCCGAUGUAGCUCAGUUGGCAGAGCACGUCUUUGGUAAAGACGAGGUCAGCGGUUCAAUCCCGCUCAUCGGCUCAA